RNAcentral lists this non-coding RNA (109 nucleotides) under Lachnospiraceae bacterium 9_1_43BFAA. Its description in RNAcentral is "Glycine riboswitch aptamer". It matches the Rfam family "Glycine riboswitch aptamer". From Rfam's summary of the family: This family represents the bacterial glycine riboswitch. Glycine riboswitches usually consist of two metabolite-binding aptamers domains with similar structures in tandem. RNAcentral also lists the same sequence under 1 other name. Lineage: Bacteria; Bacillati; Bacillota; Clostridia; Lachnospirales; Lachnospiraceae. The record is from Rfam by way of RNAcentral.
AGAUAUUUCUUGUGAGAGCGUUUCUGAAAUAGGAAACCGCCGAAGAUGCAAACCAGGUAACGGUCAAUUAACUGGUGAAACUUUCAGGCAAAAGGAGUGAGAAAUGGAC